UUGGAGGGCAAGUCUGGUGCCAGCAGCCGCGGUAAUUCCAGCUCCAAUAGCGUAUAUUAAAGUUGUUGCAGUUAAAAAGCUCGUAGUUGAAUUUCGGGGUCAGUAGGCUGGUCGUGCCUCAGGUACGUACUGGUCUUACUGAUUCCUCCUUCCUGACGAACCGUAAUGCCAUUAAUUUGGUGUUGCGGGGAAUCUGGACUGUUACUUUGAAAAAAUUAGAGUGUUUAAAGCAGGCUAACGCUUGAAUACAUUAGCAUGGAAUAAUGAAAUAGGACGAUCGAUCCUAUUUUGUUGGUUUCUAGGAUUGACGUAAUGAUUAAUAGGGAUAGUUGGGGGCAUUAGUAUUCAAUUGUCAGAGGUGAAAUUCUUGGAUUUAUUGAAGACUAACUACUGCGAAAGCAUUUGCCAAGGAUGUUUUCAUUAAUCAAGAACGAAAGUUAGGGGAUCGAAGACGAUCAGAUACCGUCGUAGUCUUAACCAUAAACUAUGCCGACUAGGGGUCGGAUGAUGUUAAUUUUUUAAUGACUCAUUCGGCGCCUUACGGGAAA
RNAcentral lists this ribosomal RNA (548 nucleotides) under uncultured Glomeromycotina. RNAcentral's name for it is "SSU rRNA". It matches the Rfam family "Eukaryotic small subunit ribosomal RNA", at positions 548 to 1097 of the family's 1831-position model. Lineage: Eukaryota; Fungi; Glomeromycota. The record is from RNAcentral.